AGGGCGGGACACGUGGUAUCCUGUCUGAAUAUGGGGGGACCAUCCUCCAAGGCUAAAUACUCCUGACUGACCGAUAGUGAACCAGUACCGUGAGGGAAAGGCGAAAAGAACCCCGGCGAGGGGAGUGAAAAAGAACCUGAAACCGUGUACGUACAAGCAGUGGGAGCACGCUUAGGCGUGUGACUGCGUACCUUUUGUAUAAUGGGUCAGCGACUUAUAUUCUGUAGCAAGGUUAACCGAAUAGGGGAGCCGAAGGGAAACCGAGUCUUAACUGGGCGUUAAGUUGCAGGGUAUAGACCCGAAACCCGGUGAUCUAGCCAUGGGCAGGUUGAAGGUUGGGUAACACUAACUGGAGGACCGAACCGACUAAUGUUGAAAAAUUAGCGGAUGACUUGUGGCUGGGGGUGAAAGGCCAAUCAAACCGGGAGAUAGCUGGUUCUCCCCGAAAGCUAUUUAGGUAGCGCCUCGUGAAUUCAUCUCCGGGGGUAGAGCACUGUUUCGGCAAGGGGGUCAUCCCGACUUACCAACCCGAUGCAAACUGCGAAUACCGGAGAAUGUUAUCACGGGAGACACACGGCGGGUGCUAACGUCCGUCGUGAAGAGGGAAACAACCCAGACCGCCAGCUAAGGUCCCAAAGUCAUGGUUAAGUGGGAAACGAUGUGGGAAGGCCCAGACAGCCAGGAUGUUGGCUUAGAAGCAGCCAUCAUUUAAAGAAAGCGUAAUAGCUCACUGGUCGAGUCGGCCUGCGCGGAAGAUGUAACGGGGCUAAACCAUGCACCGAAGCUGCGGCAGCGACGCUUAUGCGUUGUUGGGUAGGGGAGCGUUCUGUAAGCCUGUGAAGGUGUACUGUGAGGUAUGCUGGAGGUAUCAGAAGUGCGAAUGCUGACAUAAGUAACGAUAAAGCGGGUGAAAAGCCCGCUCGCCGGAAGACCAAGGGUUCCUGUCCAACGUUAAUCGGGGCAGGGUGAGUCGACCCCUAAGGCGAGGCCGAAAGGCGUAGUCGAUGGGAAACAGGUUAAUAUUCCUGUACUUGGUGUUACUGCGAAGGGGGGACGGAGAAGGCUAUGUUGGCCGGGCGACGGUUGUCCCGGUUUAAGCGUGUAGGCUGGUUUUCCAGGCAAAUCCGGAAAAUCAAGGCUGAGGCGUGAUGACGAGGCACUACGGUGCUGAAGCAACAAAUGCCCUGCUUCCAGGAAAAGCCUCUAAGCAUCAGGUAACAUCAAAUCGUACCCCAAACCGACACAGGUGGUCAGGUAGAGAAUACCAAGGCGCUUGAGAGAACUCGGGUGAAGGAACUAGGCAAAAUGGUGCCGUAACUUCGGGAGAAGGCACGCUGAUAUGUAGGUGAAGUCCCUCGCGGAUGGAGCUGAAAUCAGUCGAAGAUACCAGCUGGCUGCAACUGUUUAUUAAAAACACAGCACUGUGCAAACACGAAAGUGGACGUAUACGGUGUGACGCCUGCCCGGUGC
Molecule: ribosomal RNA, 1470 nt
Filed under: Escherichia coli
Lineage: Bacteria; Pseudomonadati; Pseudomonadota; Gammaproteobacteria; Enterobacterales; Enterobacteriaceae
Description: partial 23S ribosomal RNA
Rfam family: Bacterial large subunit ribosomal RNA
Source: RNAcentral